CGCUUAUCCUUUCAACGUACCGGUACUGCUCCUUUUUGAGUUCAUAUAAUUCUGUCAGUUUUUGUAUAUUUUCUUAACAUGUGACUUCCUUUCGCCAUAGCCAAUUAUCCUUUAUUAUGUUCUAGUUAAGGACUGUAUGACUCAGUUAUUUUGGUAAAACUGAUCUAAAUGACGUAAUGCGGAGUUCACACAUUGUCGAUUAUUGCCCCCGUUUGAGAU
This 219-nucleotide long non-coding RNA is filed under the name Mytilus galloprovincialis (Mediterranean mussel). Lineage: Eukaryota; Metazoa; Mollusca; Bivalvia; Mytilida; Mytilidae. The record is from RNAcentral.